AUACGGAGGGCGCAAGCGUUGCCCGGAAUCACUGGGUGUAAAGGGUGCGUAGGCGGGGCUGUAAGUCAGAGGUGAAAGCCCUCGGCUCAACCGGGGAAUUGCCUCUGAUACUGCGGCUCUUGAGUCCCGGAGAGGCCGCUGGAAUUCCUGGUGUAGCGGUGAAAUGCGUAGAUAUCAGGAGGAACACCGGAGGCGAAGGCGGGCGGCUGGACGGGGACUGACGCUGAGGCACGAAAGCGUGGGGAGCAAACAGGAUUAGAAACCCCAGUAGUCC
This 274-nucleotide ribosomal RNA is filed under the name uncultured bacterium. Its description in RNAcentral is "partial 16S ribosomal RNA". It matches the Rfam family "Bacterial small subunit ribosomal RNA", at positions 523 to 796 of the family's 1533-position model. The record is from RNAcentral.